GGGGUUGUUUUUUUCCCCUGCAACAAGUAAAAAUGGCGACAUCCUCAGGAGCUGACAUAAUAGGGAAGACGCGGAUUUCCAAAUUCUGUGUCAGACAUGUUUGGGGGAAAAUCCAUACAUCUGCAUAGUGAGUAGUUUAACUUUGUCUUGAUUUGGCUAAAUAUUUUAGCUGCUAGUUUGCGUCUGUCAUUUAUACUGAACUAAAAUAUAAACGCAACAUGUAAAGUGUUGGUCCCAAGUUUCACGAGCUGAAAUAAAAGAUCCAGAAAUGUUCCAUACUCACAAAAAGCUUUUCUCUCAAAUUUUGUGCGCAAAUUUGUUUACAUCCCUGUUAGUGAGCAUUUCUCCUUUGCCAUGGUAAUCCAUCCACCUGACAGAUUGAACAGCAUGAUCAUUACACAGUGCACCUUGUGAUGGAGACAGUAAAAGACCACUCUAAAAUGUGCCGUUUUGUCACAACACAAUGCCACAGAUGCCUUAAGUUU
RNAcentral lists this long non-coding RNA (485 nucleotides) under Salmo trutta (river trout). Its description in RNAcentral is "lncRNA (ENSSTUG00000006180.1)". Lineage: Eukaryota; Metazoa; Chordata; Actinopteri; Salmoniformes; Salmonidae. The record is from RNAcentral.